RNAcentral lists this ribosomal RNA (1488 nucleotides) under uncultured bacterium. Its description in RNAcentral is "bacterial SSU rRNA". It matches the Rfam family "Bacterial small subunit ribosomal RNA". The record is from RNAcentral.
GACGAACGCUGGCGGCGUGCUUAACACAUGCAAGUCGAACGGUAAGGCCCCUUCGGGGGUACACGAGUGGCGAACGGGUGAGUAACACGUGAGCAACCUGCCCUUGACUCUGGAAUAACAGUUGGAAACAGCUGCUAAUACUGGAUAUGCACCGGGCCCCUCCUGGGGUGUGGUGGAAAGCUCCGGCGGUCAGGGAUGGGCUCGCGGCCUAUCAGCUUGUUGGUGAGGUAAUGGCUCACCAAGGCUUCGACGGGUAGCCGGCCUGAGAGGGCGACCGGCCACACUGGGACUGAGAUACGGCCCAGACUCCUACGGGAGGCAGCAGUGGGGAAUAUUGCACAAUGGGCGCAAGCCUGAUGCAGCAACGCCGCGUGCGGGAUGACGGCCUUCGGGUUGUAAACCGCUUUCAGUAGGGACGAAGGGUGACUGACGGUACCUACAGAAGAAGGACCGGCUAACUACGUGCCAGCAGCCGCGGUGAUACGUAGGGUCCGAGCGUUGUCCGGAAUUAUUGGGCGUAAAGGGCUUGUAGGCGGUCCGUCGCGUCAGGAGUGAAAACUCAGGGCUUAACCCUGAGCCUGCUUUUGAUACGGGCGGACUAGAGGGAUGCAGGGGAGAACGGAAUUCCUGGUGGAGCGGUGGAAUGCGCAGAUAUCAGGAGGAACACCGGUGGCGAAGGCGGUUCUCUGGGCAUUACCUGACGCUGAGAAGCGAAAGCGUGGGGAGCAAACAGGCUUAGAUACCCUGGUAGUCCACGCCGUAAACGGUGGGCACUAGGUGUGGGGGACAUUCCACGUUCUCCGUGCCGAAGCUAACGCAUUAAGUGCCCCGCCUGGGGAGUACGGCCGCAAGGCUAAAACUCAAAGGAAUUGACGGGGGCCCGCACAAGCGGCGGAGCAUGCGGAUUAAUUCGAUGCAACGCGAAGAACCUUACCUGGGUUUGACAUAUGCCGGAAAGCUGCAGAGAUGUAGCCCCCGCAAGGUCGGUAUACAGGUGGUGCAUGGCUGUCGUCAGCUCGUGUCGUGAGAUGUUGGGUUAAGUCCCGCAACGAGCGCAACCCUCGUUCCAUGUUGCCAGCACGUAAUGGUGGGGACUCAUAGGAGACUGCCGGGGUCAACUCGGAGGAAGGUGGGGAUGACGUCAAGUCAUCAUGCCCCUUAAGUCCAGGGCUUCACGCAUGCUACAAUGGCUGGUACAAAGGGCUGCAAGACCGCGAGGUUUAGCCAAUCCCAUAAAACCAUUCUCAGUUCGGAUUGUAGGCUGCAACUCGCCUACAUGAAGCCGGAAUCGCUAGUAAUCGCGGAUCAGCAUGCCGCGGUGAAUACGUUCCCGGGCCUUGUACACACCGCCCGUCACACCACGAGAGUUUGUAACACCCGAAGUCGGUGGGAUAACCUGGGACAAAACUUAACCUCUUAUUAUCAUUAUAGGAAGUUAAGUUUUGUCCUAGGAGCCAGCCGCCUAAGGUGGGACAGAUGAUUGGGGUG